ACAAUCUGUUUAGGUGAAGUGAACAAGCAACCCUCAAUUUUUCUUCCCAAUCACUGACAGAAAGAGGGAAUCGAUGGAAGUAACGUAAUUUGAUUGGUUGUUGAUCUUCAAGCCGAAGUGCAGAUAUGCGGAGAUUUACAAGUCUAAAAAUUCUUGACCCUAGUCAAUGCCAAACGGCCCGAAAUCCAUUGGUACCACCAACCUCACUAAUGAAAAUUUCUACAUGCUCCCCGACUUCUCUUCGCAUCUAAAUCCGCCUCCGCCUCCAGUGAAUAUCGAUGCAGAGCUUUACAAAAACCCUAACAACCAAACCCUAUCAUUUUCGUAAGUUCGAAUCCAAAAACUCUCACCUUUCCAUCGCGAGAACCAAAUCCACUGAAACUCCAAUCAAAGCGAAACUGGAAGAACUGAUUUACCUAGAAGAUGUUUCUCAUCUCCUGCAAAUCAAACAAACAAGCGACCUUAAGAUUCAUAAGAGAAGCCCUAACUUGAACAACUAAAAAGGAAGAAUAGAUGAUACCCUAACUUCUAUAUUCAAUUGGGUUCCUAUUCUUCCUUCACGAAGUCAAUUUUCAUCCGUGUUGUUGAUUCAGGUUACUUCUGGGGUUCCGAAACCAUCCCCGAUCACAACAUUAGAUGCUCAACAGGCUGAAGCUAAAUGCUCUUCUUGCAAGAAUCAUAUGCGCUAGAGAGCUGGUACUAGUCCACAACAUUGGAGAUUGAAGCUGUUAUCCGUCGAUGGUUCUCAGUCUGGUGCCAAGUCGACUACCAAUCUUGUAAUAGUUGAUUGUAAAUUUUAUUCAAGUCUUUUCCAGUUAUAUUCUUAUAAGUUUGUUGACAGGUCUUGUAACCUUAUGGUCCUUGACGAAUGGUCCUCCUCCUGGCACUUUGCUCAUGUUAAAGGAGCAUGAGGCCUGUCAUGUAAAUCUUUACUACACUUUAUUAUUCAAAUAAUAAUAAUAUGUUUCCCUGUAUUAAAAAUCAA
Long non-coding RNA from Papaver somniferum (opium poppy), 985 nucleotides. RefSeq lists it as uncharacterized. The record is from RefSeq and is a predicted model, not a curated record. The transcript has 3 exons. Lineage: Eukaryota; Viridiplantae; Streptophyta; Magnoliopsida; Ranunculales; Papaveraceae.